GCCCUCUUUGGCUCAUCCACUUGGGGAACGUCUCAUCCUUCAAGGCCCAGUCUAGAAGCUUCUCAGAAGCUUUCUCUGAUGCUCCACUGCACCCCAGGCAGGUUUCAUUGUUCUAGCCUGGUGGUCCCAUCUCACACCUGACCGUCAUGCUCAGAGGAGAUUUGGUGAGAAGAGAGGAAGUUAUCUGACUGGACUGUCAACACUAUGGCCUAAGCACUCACCGUCGGAUGCAGAGGAUGGAAGGCGGGCUCUCUGGCCCCAUCAGUAAAGGGAACUGUGAGCCUUGAGCCCUCCACACUUUCCCGGUCUUCCUUGGGAUCCAGGGCUGGCUGGGCUCGUGGCUACUGUCUGCAGCUCCAAAUCAGAGGAGAGCUAACGAUUACAUGUGAGCCUGGAGACCCAGCCUCCCCCGCGACUGCCUGGGGCUCCACCUAACCCCUGAUGGGUAGCAGCUGCCAAGAGGAAAAGCAGAGAAGGCUGAGGAGAAGAGAAGGAGAGAGGAGGCAGUCAGACCUUGUCCUGACACAUUAGUGACCAUCCUCACUCCCAGGCUGGGAGGAGAGCCAGCAGUGGAGCACGGCCUCGGUCCCACUCAGGAGAUCCGGCGAUUCACACUUGCUAAAUGGAAGUCAGUGUCAAACCCUUGAUUUUUGGCCUGUCUCCCACGGCCAAGGCUGCUUGUCACUGAACUGUCAUCACUGGGGAAGGGGCGAGAUGGACUAAGAAGAGAGACAACGGCCGAGCCUCAGGUCUUGGGAUGACAACGGUAACAACUCCAAUAUUAAGAGCCCCUGGCACUGAGCCCUUCCCUCCGUCAUCUCAUCCAUCUUUACUACGACCUAUAACGUGAGGACUAAUAUUCGACCCACUUUAACGACAAAGAGAGUGAAGCUUAGCCUGGUGUCUCCCUGAACUCCACACUGGCUUGACAUCACCAACUGGACAUCCAACAGCCAUCUCAAAUGCACACGUCCAAGGAUGUGGAGAAACCAGAAGCUUCUUCCCCUGCUGGCGGGAAUGUGAAACGGUGCAGCUGCUCUGGAAAACAGUGUGGCCGUUGGGUUAAACACAGUUACCACGUGACCCAGCAAUUCCACUCCUCCGUAACAACCCGAAAUGAAAACAUAGGUCCACACAAAAACUUACACAUGAAGCUGUCACCAAAGUAAAGUAUCAAAAUUCACCAAUUAUUUACUUGUUUAAGUCAAUUAGAGUCAAA
This 1219-nucleotide long non-coding RNA is filed under the name Equus caballus (horse). Its description in RNAcentral is "lncRNA (ENSECAG00000059600.1)". Lineage: Eukaryota; Metazoa; Chordata; Mammalia; Perissodactyla; Equidae. The record is from RNAcentral.